Long non-coding RNA from Micropterus dolomieu (smallmouth bass), 478 nucleotides. RefSeq lists it as uncharacterized. Lineage: Eukaryota; Metazoa; Chordata; Actinopteri; Centrarchiformes; Centrarchidae. The transcript has 3 exons. The record is from RefSeq and is a predicted model, not a curated record.
UGUAAAUUUAGCCAGCGCCGUUGAAAAAGCUUAUUAGGAGUUGGCUGUUUACUUUCUCUGGGCUUGGAAAAAGACCUGACUGCCAUGAGAACAGAGUGAGAACCAUCACCUCACAGGCUUUUGGGGAACCAGACCUCGGACCUGGCCCUCCAUGGCGUCCUGGAUGUUGCCCGAGGAGUAGAGGCCUAUAGGAGUGUUGUAGGCUGUGCUGACCACCUGACGCUUGUCAUCGAUGUUCGCUGCCGCAACAAACGGCUGAGCUCUACGGUUGUGAGCAGCACCAAUUGGUUUAUAUUCCUGUUGGGAAGAGAAGGAAACCAGUGCAACAUGUCUGCGGCUGGGACUCCCUCAAUGGCCAGGAUGACAUCACCAGGACACAAGUUUGCUGCGGAGGCUUUACUGCCGGGUGUGAUCUGGAAGGGAACAAGAAGGAAUGGGGAGAGGAAUGGACAAAAAAUAAAGACUGUGGCUUUAGGUA